RNAcentral lists this ribosomal RNA (1482 nucleotides) under Pelagibacterales bacterium SAG-MED12. RNAcentral describes it as "bacterial SSU rRNA". It matches the Rfam family "Bacterial small subunit ribosomal RNA". The record is from RNAcentral. Lineage: Bacteria; Pseudomonadati; Pseudomonadota; Alphaproteobacteria; Candidatus Pelagibacterales.
UUUAAACUUGAGAGUUUGAUCAUGGCUCAGAACGUACGCUGGCGGCACGCCUAACACAUGCAAGUCGAACGAAGUAGCAAUACUUAGUGGCAGACGGGUGAGUAACAUGUGGGUAUCUGCCCUUUGGCCUGGAAUAACACGAGGAAACUUGUGCUAAUACCGGAUAAGUCUUUACGGAGAAAGCUUUAUGCACCAUUGGAUGAGCCCGCACUUGAUUAGUUUGUUGGUAGGGUAAUGGCCUACCAAGACUAUGAUCAAUAGCUGAUUUGAGAGGAUGAUCAGCCACAUUGGGACUGAGACACGGCCCAAACUCCUACGGGAGGCAGCAGUGGGGAAUCUUGCACAAUGGAGGAAACUCUGAUGCAGCGAUGCCGCGUGAGUGAAGAAGGCCUUUGGGUUGUAAAGCUCUUUCGUCGGGGAAGAAAAUGACUGUACCCGAAUAAGAAGGUCCGGCUAACUUCGUGCCAGCAGCCGCGGUAAUACGAAGGGACCUAGCGUAGUUCGGAAUUACUGGGCUUAAAGAGUUCGUAGGUGGUUGAAAAAGUUGGUGGUGAAAUCCCAGAGCUUAACUCUGGAACUGCCAUCAAAACUUUUCAGCUAGAGUUUGAUAGAGGAAAGCAGAAUUUCUAGUGUAGAGGUGAAAUUCGUAGAUAUUAGAAAGAAUACCAAUUGCGAAGGCAGCUUUCUGGAUCAUUACUGACACUGAGGAACGAAAGCAUGGGUAGCGAAGAGGAUUAGAUACCCUCGUAGUCCAUGCCGUAAACGAUGUGUGUUAGACGUUGGAAAUUUAUUUUCAGUGUCGCAGCGAAAGCGAUAAACACACCGCCUGGGGAGUACGACCGCAAGGUUAAAACUCAAAUGAAUUGACGGGGACCCGCACAAGUAGUGGAGCAUGUGGUUUAAUUCGAAGAUACGCGCAGAACCUUACCAACACUUGACAUGUUCGUCGCGACUUUAAGAGAUUAAAGUUUUCGGUUCGGCCGGACGAAACACAGGUGCUGCAUGGCUGUCGUCAGCUCGUGUCGUGAGAUGUUGGGUUAAGUCCCGCAACGAGCGCAACCCUCACUUUUAGUUGCCAUCAUUAAGUUGGGCACUCUGAAAGAACUGCCAGUGAUAAGCUGGAGGAAGGUGGGGAUGACGUCAAGUCCUCAUGGCCCUUACGUGUUGGGCUACACACGUGCUACAAUGGUAUCUACAACAGGAAGCAAAACAGCGAUGUUAAGCAAAUCCUUAAAAGAUACCUCAGUUCGGAUUGCACUCUGCAACUCGAGUGCAUGAAGCUGGAAUUACUAGUAAUCGUGGAUCAGCGUGCCACGGUGAAUGCGUUCCCGGGUCUUGUACACACCGCCCGUCACACCAUGGGAGUUGGUUCUACCUUAAGGCAAGGUUUUAAACCCUUGACCACGGUAUAGUCAGCGACUGGGGUGAAGUCGUAACAAGGUAGCCGUAGGGGAACCUGCGGCUGGAUUACCUCCUUUCUAA